RNAcentral lists this long non-coding RNA (605 nucleotides) under Monodelphis domestica (gray short-tailed opossum). RNAcentral describes it as "lncRNA (ENSMODG00000036894.1)". Lineage: Eukaryota; Metazoa; Chordata; Mammalia; Didelphimorphia; Didelphidae. The record is from RNAcentral.
AUGGAAAUUCCUCUGAGUGCAAAAGGAAGGAAGGAAGGAAGGAAGGAAGGAAGGAAGGAAGGAAGGAAGGAAGGAAGAGAGAGAAGGAGGGAGAGAGGGGGAAGGAGAAAGAGGGAGGGAGGAAGAGGGAGGGAGAGAGAAAGCAACAAAGGAAGGAACAAAGGAAGGAAAGAAGGAAGGAAGGAAGUUAAGGAAGGAACUGGAAUUGCAUAGUUUCUUUUCUCCUCAGUUUCUUUUACCUCAUUCUUAAUCUAUUGUUUUUGGUGUAAUCACUAGCUUUGAACAUAAACAACUAUAGCAUUUUUCUUUAUUUGCUUAUAAAAAUCUGUCAAUCUGACCUCAGCCACUUCUAGCUGUGUGACCCUGGGCAAGUCACUUGACCCCCAUUGCCUAGCCCUUACCACUCUUCUGCCUUGGAGCCAAUACACAGUAUUGACUCCAAGACAGAAGGUAAGGGUUUAAAAAAAAAUCUGUUAAUACAAAUGUUCAGAAUCUCUGAUCAAACUACAGAUUCCUUGCUUUUGUACACCUUGCAAUCAUAUUAAAGCCCAUGAACUUGGUGGGGGGGGGGGGCGGGGACAAAAAUAAAACUGGGCCCCUGCCCA